Molecule: ribosomal RNA, 253 nt
Filed under: uncultured bacterium
Lineage: Bacteria
Description: partial 16S ribosomal RNA
Rfam family: Bacterial small subunit ribosomal RNA
Source: RNAcentral
UAGGGAAUCUUCCACAAUGGACGCAAGUCUGAUGGAGCAACGCCGCGUGAGUGAAGAAGGUCUUCGGAUCGUAAAGCUCUGUUGUUGGUGAAGAAGGAUAGAGGCAGUAACUGGUCUUUAUUUGACGGUAAUCAACCAGAAAGUCACGGCUAACUACGUGCCAGCAGCCGCGGUAAUACGUAGGUGGCAAGCGUUGUCCGGAUUUAUUGGGCGUAAAGCGAGCGCAGGCGGAAUGAUAAGUCUGAUGUGAAAG